This is a long non-coding RNA of Lolium perenne, 2942 nucleotides long. RefSeq lists it as uncharacterized. The record is from RefSeq and is a predicted model, not a curated record. NCBI's taxonomy places the organism in Eukaryota, Viridiplantae, Streptophyta, Magnoliopsida, Poales, Poaceae.
AGGAUACACACAAGAAACAAGCGGCAGCGGACCACGCGCCUAAGAAGAGAAGAACGCAGGGAUCUGACGAGCCUCACGACGUGAAGUCGUAGGUUGCCGAUCACUGGAGGUCGAAGACGUCGGCGACGCGUCGUGACUGGCAGGGAUCCCACGCCACGCCAUGAUGCGCAUCAAGCUGGAAAGGUAGCCGAAGGAGCUUGCUGCGACACCAACAGUGAACCGAUCGUCAUAAACUUGGCGUCGGGCCAAGACGAGGCUGCCGGCCCGUAGCAUGGCGCUAUCAACACCACACCCGCGAGGCGCGACGACGACAUCCGCGACGAGGCUGCCGGCGCGGCGCGGCGCCAUCAUCUCCAUGGCACCGGCGAGGCGCGACGACGACGUCCGCGACGAGGCUGCCGGCUGCUGCGCGGCGCCAUCAACACCGCACACACGAGGCGCGGCGACGACGUCCGUGACGAGGCUGCCGGCGAGCAGCACGGCGCCAUCAACACCACUCCAGCGAGUCACGACGACGACGACCUUGACGGGGCUGUCGGCGUGCAGCGCGGCGCCAUCUCCACCACUGGCGAGACCCGGCGACGACGUAUAUGCCAAGGCUGCCGGCGUGUAGUGCGGCGCCAUCAACACGGCACCCGCGAGGCGUGGCGACGACGUCCGUGCCGGGGCUGCCGGCGUGCAGCGCGGCGCCAUCUUCAACUCUACACCAUGCCACCGACGACGACGUCCGUGCCGGGGCUGCCGGCGUGCAUCGCGGCGCCAUCUUCAACUCUACACCAUGCCACCGAUGACGACGUCCGUGCCGAGGCUGCCGGCGUGCAGCGCGGCGCCAUCAGCACCACACUUAUGGGGCGCGACGACAACGCCCGGGGUUGCCGGCGUACAGCGCGACGCCAUCUUCAACUCCACACCAUGCCACCGACGACGACGUCGAGGCUGCCGGCGUACAGCCCGGCGCCAUCACACCGAUGAUGCUGACAAGACCAAUGGAGGCCGUCUUCAUCCGGGACAAACAAGAUCAGCUCUGUCGACGCGAAUGGUCUCACCGGAGCUGUCUACAGGUAGCCCAUGGCAUGCACCGGUGAUGCCAGCCGUUGCAGAAAUGCACGCUGUGCCGCCGAGAUGCAACACCAGCAAGACCACUGGCAGCGGACGACGCGCCAAGUUGGUACACGGCGGCGGCGAACUAUUACACGCGCCCAAACGGCGUCAGCUGCGCCACUCAUAUCCGGAGGCCGGAGGCGGCGGAUGAUGCGUCGAGUACACGCCCUGGAGCCAUAACGCGGAGAUCUGGUGCAGGAGAACGGACGCCUAACUUGAAGACGGAGGUUGCCGAUCGGCAGAUGUCAAGGAUGACGUCGGCGACAUGGCGUGUCCGGCAGCGACCCGACGCCACGCUGUGAUGCACAUCAAGCGAAGCUCUCCGCGACGCUGACAAGGCAAGCUAGCCAUCGCGCCAACGACGCCGACCGUGACCAUGAAGGUCCUGCUCCUCGACGCCACCACAGGCCGAUGCGAACAAGAUUGCCUCCAUCGACGAGGACGCCGCCGCUGGAGCUUCAAUCUGCAGCCCAUCGGCGUGCACCCGGUGAUGGUGAACUUGGCCUUCAUCGAGUCCAUCGACGCCCAUAAACGCACGUGCGCCACCAAUGUGGUGCCAAGACCUCGCCAUCAUGAUCACCACAGAAACCUCCUUCGUCAUUAGGGAGCCGACGAUGGGGCGGCGACACACCAUGCGCGCCAGGAGCUAGGUGGACAUCAUCAUUGUCGCCAACACGCUGAUAUUACACAUCGUCAACACUGAUGCACACGGCUGGCCCGGCGCCGAUGCUAGUGGGCAGCCGAGCGCUCGUAUUCAUCUCCAGUGCAGUACAACGCCCACCCAUUGCGAGCGCGGUACAAAUAGCUGAACUCAAGCGGACGUGUGCAUCACCGUACGAGGUCCCUGUGCCGAUGUCCGGAGAUCGCUUCAUCAUGGACGCCGAGGAUUCGGCUCCGUCCCACCCGCUGCAAGCUACAUGUCCAUACGCGCCGUCGCCUUCAACGAAGCUCCCGUCAAGGACUACACCGACCCCAGCUCGAACCCAACAAGUCAAGAUGACCAUCAGCCAAUGCACAUCUUUAUCAACCCGUACCACACACGGACGCCAACUACAUCGACACAAAGAUCGUCUUCAUCGACUCCGUGACAAGGCGGCGAGAGCGCCAACUACAUCGGCACGCUACCCUUCUUCUAGCCGAGUCACACGACCACGACAUAUCAAGCCUCAUGGGCCCAUGCACACCUCCGGCAUUACAAGAUCUACAUCGCCAAGUUCAUACAUCAUCGUCAUCAAGCCACGUUGCCACGCAACGACGUUUAAGUCUACUCCGACAACCACAUCAACCCUCUUCCCCAACAUCGGCCUAGCACCGACGAGGCGAAGCCACUCCACCAACAUGUCUUUUCUCCGAUGAAGCAAGCCAUUUCUUGCCGGGCACCGACGAGGCGAAGGCAAGACAUCAAGUCCGACACCGACGAGGCGGACACCACCAGGCCUGGCACCGACGAGGCGAAGGCCGCCCAUCUGUCUGAGCUGACGAGGCCAGACAUCUUCAUCAUCGGACAUCGACAAGCCGGAGAGUAUGGCUAAACAUCGCCGGGGAGACGGACGUACCGUCUCGCUUUCCACUUCACCAUCCCAUCAUCAUCGUCUACGCCAAGUGCAUGGAGAAGACGAGACUUGAAGACGACGACCAUUGCAGCAGCUUAAUCGGAGGUGGUCCGCGGCGUUGACUCGCGGACGUAAUUAAUCGGGAGCCUUCCGAGGCCCCGUGAACCAGAACACACAAUCGCCCAAGUCAUAUCGGCCGCGCUAGCAGGCCACGGAGCGCAUAUGUAAAGGGAUCUUGUAAUUUCGUUUCUCCAUUGAGAGAUUAAUAAAAAUACAUGUUUCCCUAUA